RNAcentral lists this ribosomal RNA (556 nucleotides) under uncultured bacterium. RNAcentral describes it as "partial 16S ribosomal RNA". It matches the Rfam family "Bacterial small subunit ribosomal RNA", at positions 355 to 900 of the family's 1533-position model. The record is from RNAcentral.
UGGGGAAUUUUGGACAAUGGGCGAAAGCCUGAUCCAGCAAUGCCGCGUGUGUGAAGAAGGCCUUCGGGUUGUAAAGCACUUUUGUCCGGAAAGAAAUCCUUGGCUCUAAUACAGUCGGGGGAUGACGGUACCGGAAGAAUAAGCACCGGCUAACUACGUGCCAGCAGCCGCGGUAAUACGUAGGGUGCAAGCGUUAAUCGGAAUUACUGGGCGUAAAAGCGUGCGCAGGCGGUUUGCUAAGACCGAUGUGAAAUCCCCGGGCUCAACCUGGGAACUGCAUUGGUGACUGGCAGGCUAGAGUAUGGCAGAGGGGGGUAGAAUUCCACGUGUAGCAGUGAAAUGCGUAGAGAUGUGGAGGAAUACCGAUGGCGAAGGCAGCCCCCUGGGCCAAUACUGACGCUCAUGCACGAAAAGCGUGGGGAGCAAAACAGGAUUAGAUACCCUGGUAGUCCACGCCCUAAAACGAUGUCAACUAGUUGUUGGGGAUUCAUUUCCUUAGUAACGUAGCUAACGCGUGAAGUUGACCGCCUGGGGAGUACGGUCGCAAGAUUAAAAA